AACGAACGCUGGCGGCAUGCCUAACACAUGCAAGUCGAACGAGACCUUCGGGUCUAGUGGCGCACGGGUGCGUAACGCGUGGGAACCUGCCUUUAGGUUCGGAAUAACUCCCCGAAAGGGGUGCUAAUACCGGAUAAUGUCUUCGGACCAAAGGUUUAUCGCCUUUGGAUGGGCCCGCGUUGGAUUAGCUAGUUGGUAGGGUAAAAGCCUACCAAGGCGACGAUCCAUAGCUGGUCUGAGAGGAUGAUCAGCCACACUGGGACUGAGACACGGCCCAGACUCCUACGGGAGGCAGCAGUGGGGAAUAUUGGACAGUGGGCGAAAGCCUGAUCCAGCAAUGCCGCGUGAGUGAUGAAGGCCUUAGGGUUGUAAAGCUCUUUUACCCGGGAUGAUAAUGACAGUACCGGGAGAAUAAGCUCCGGCUAACUCCGUG
This 433-nucleotide ribosomal RNA is filed under the name uncultured bacterium. RNAcentral's name for it is "partial 16S ribosomal RNA". It matches the Rfam family "Bacterial small subunit ribosomal RNA", at positions 29 to 507 of the family's 1533-position model. The record is from RNAcentral.